UAGGAUGUGGUGUAAUGGGAGCACGGAGGGUUUUGAGUUCUUUGGUAUAGGUUCGAGUCCUAUUAUCCUAG
Non-coding RNA from Sarcophilus harrisii (Tasmanian devil), 71 nucleotides. The record is from Rfam. NCBI's taxonomy places the organism in Eukaryota, Metazoa, Chordata, Mammalia, Dasyuromorphia, Dasyuridae.